GUGUCAGCCGCCGCGGUAAUACAGAGGGUACAAACGUUGUUCGGAAUCACUGGGCUUAAAGCGCACGUAGGUGGUUCGGUAAGUGCGAUGUGAAAGCCCCCGGCCCAACCGGGGAACUGCAUCGCAGACUGCCGAGCUUGAGAGCGGUAGGGGAGACUAGAACUCCUGGUGGAGCGGUGAAAUGCGUAGAUAUCAGGAGGAAUACCGGUGGCGAAGGCGAGUCUCUGGUCCGCUUCUGACACUUAGGUGCGAAAGCUAGGGGAGCAAACGGGAUUAGAAACCCCAGUAGUCC
RNAcentral lists this ribosomal RNA (292 nucleotides) under uncultured bacterium. RNAcentral's name for it is "partial 16S ribosomal RNA". It matches the Rfam family "Bacterial small subunit ribosomal RNA", at positions 505 to 796 of the family's 1533-position model. The record is from RNAcentral.